This 493-nucleotide ribosomal RNA is filed under the name uncultured bacterium. RNAcentral describes it as "partial 16S ribosomal RNA". It matches the Rfam family "Bacterial small subunit ribosomal RNA", at positions 28 to 506 of the family's 1533-position model. The record is from RNAcentral.
GACGAACGCUGGCGGCGUGCUUAACACAUGCAAGUCGAACGGAAAGGCCUGCUUUCCCUUGUGGAUUGCGGGUACUCGAGUGGCGAACGGGUGAGUAACACGUGAGUGAUCUGCCCCCAACUUGGGUAUAAGCCUGGGAAACUGGGUCUAAUUCCCGAUAGGACUGCAGGGUGGUGCCUGUGGUGGAAAACGAUUUUCUAGUGGUUGGGGAUGGGCUCGCGGCCUAUCAGCUUGUUGGUGGGGUAAUGGCCUACCAAGGCGGCGACGGGUAGCCGGCCUGGGAGGGUGGACGGCCAAGUUGGGACUGGGAUACGGCCCAGACUCCUACGGGAGGAGGCAGGGGGGAAUAUUGCACAAGGGGCGGAAGCCUGAUGCAGCGACGCCGGGGGGGGGAUGACGGCUUUCGGGGUGUAAACUCCUUUCGACCGCGAGGAAGCCACCUGGUGGGGAGGGGGGGGAGGGUAGUGGUAGAAGAAGCACCGGCUAACUACGU